Elasticomyces elasticus is the source of this 111-nucleotide non-coding RNA. Lineage: Eukaryota; Fungi; Ascomycota; Dothideomycetes; Mycosphaerellales; Teratosphaeriaceae. The record is from the annotation of a GenBank genome assembly.
GAUUAUUGUUAGGCCGAGCGGUUAUGGCGCCAGCUUCAGGGCAGUAAUAAGCAACGAUUACAACCUCUGCUGGUCUCGAAAGAGGCGUGGGUUCGAUUCCCACUCUGUUCA